Molecule: ribosomal RNA, 429 nt
Filed under: Bacillota bacterium
Lineage: Bacteria; Bacillati; Bacillota
Description: Firmicutes bacterium partial 16S ribosomal RNA
Rfam family: Bacterial small subunit ribosomal RNA
Source: RNAcentral
UAGGGAAUCUUCGGCAAUGGACGGAAGGCUGACCGAGCAACGCCGCGUGAGUGAAGAAGGUUUUCGGAUCGUAAAGCUCUGUUGUUAGAGAAGAACGUUGGUAGGAGUGGAAAAUCUACCAAGUGACGGUAACUAACCAGAAAGGGACGGCUAACUACGUGCCAGCAGCCGCGGUAAUACGUAGGUCCCGAGCGUUGUCCGGAUUUAUUGGGCGUAAAGCGAGCGCAGGCGGUUCUUUAAGUCUGAAGUUAAAGGCAGUGGCUUAACCAUUGUACGCUUUGGAAACUGGAGGGCUUGAGUGCAGAAGGGGGGAGUGGAAUUCCAUGUGUAGCGGUGAAAUUCGUAGAUAUAUGGAGGAACACCGGUGGCGAAAGCGGCUCUCUGGUCUGUAACUGACGCUGAGGCUCGAAAGCGUGGGGAACAAACAAG